GGCUCCGUAGCUCAGGGGAUAGAGCAACCGCCUCCUAAGCGGUAGGUCUCAGGUUCGAAUCCUGACGGGGCCACCA
RNAcentral lists this transfer RNA (76 nucleotides) under Flavimaricola sp. RNAcentral's name for it is "tRNA-Arg". It matches the Rfam family "tRNA". Rfam says of the family: Transfer RNA (tRNA) molecules are approximately 80 nucleotides in length. Lineage: Bacteria; Pseudomonadati; Pseudomonadota; Alphaproteobacteria; Rhodobacterales; Paracoccaceae. The record is from RNAcentral.